Molecule: ribosomal RNA, 253 nt
Filed under: uncultured bacterium
Lineage: Bacteria
Description: partial 16S ribosomal RNA
Rfam family: Bacterial small subunit ribosomal RNA
Source: RNAcentral
GACGAACCGUGCGAACGUUAUUCGGAAUCACUGGGCUUAAAGCGUGUGUAGGCGGAUCGUUAAGUACCUUGUGAAAUCCCACGGCUCAACCGUGGAACUGCUGGGUAUACUGGCGAUCUUGAGCCACCUAGGGGCGAGCGGAACAAGCGGUGGAGCGGUGAAAUGCGUAGAUAUCGCUUGGAACGCCAACGGUGAAAACAGCUCGCUGGGGGUGUGCUGACGCUGAGACACGAAAGCCAGGGGAGCGAACGGG